CCUACGGGAGGCAGCAGUGAGGAAUAUUGGUCAAUGGCCGGGAGGCUGAACCAGCCAAGUCGCGUGAGGGAAGACGGCCCUACGGGUUGUAAACCUCUUUUGUCAGGGAGCAAGGUGCAGGUCGGGACCUGCGGUGAGAGUACCUGAAGAAAAAGCAUCGGCUAACUCCGUGCCAGCAGCCGCGGUAAUACGGAGGAUGCGAGCGUUAGCCGGAUUUAGUGGGUUGAAAGGGUGCGCAGGCGGAGGCACAAGGCAGCGGUAAAAUCGCGGGGCUCAACCCCGCUCCGCCUUUGAAACUGUGUCCCUUGAGUGCGCGACGGGUAGGCGGAAUGCGUGGUGUAGCGGUGAAAUGCAUAGAUAUCACGCAGAACUCCGAUCGCGAAGGCAGCCUACCGGCGCGCAACUGACGCUCAUGCACGAAAGCGUGGGUAUCGAACAGGAUUAGAUACCCGGGUAGUC
Molecule: ribosomal RNA, 459 nt
Filed under: uncultured bacterium
Lineage: Bacteria
Description: partial 16S ribosomal RNA
Rfam family: Bacterial small subunit ribosomal RNA
Source: RNAcentral